CUUCCGCCGGCGACCGGCGCACGGGUGAGUAACACGUAUGCAACCUGCCCCUGUCAGGGGGACAACCCGCCGAAAGGCGGGCUAAACCCGCGUACAUGCCACCGGGGCAUCCCGGAGGCAGGAAAGGCUUCGGCCGGAUAGGGAUGGGCAUGCGGCGCAUUAGGCAGUAGGCGGGGUAACGGCCCACCUAACCGACGAUGCGUAGGGGUUCUGAGAGGAAGGUCCCCCACCACUGGUACUGAGACACGGACCAGACUCCUACGGGAGGCAGCAG
This 274-nucleotide ribosomal RNA is filed under the name uncultured bacterium. RNAcentral's name for it is "partial 16S ribosomal RNA". It matches the Rfam family "Bacterial small subunit ribosomal RNA", at positions 82 to 354 of the family's 1533-position model. The record is from RNAcentral.